This 73-nucleotide transfer RNA is filed under the name Ovis aries (sheep). It matches the Rfam family "tRNA". From Rfam's summary of the family: Transfer RNA (tRNA) molecules are approximately 80 nucleotides in length. Their secondary structure includes four short double-helical elements and three loops (D, anti-codon, and T loops). Lineage: Eukaryota; Metazoa; Chordata; Mammalia; Artiodactyla; Bovidae. The record is from Rfam by way of RNAcentral.
UCCCUGGUGGCUCAGACGGUAAAAGCAUCUGCCUACAAUGCGGGAGACCUGGGUUCGAUCCCUGGGUCGGGAA